UAAUACGUAGGGGGCAAGCGUUGUCCGGAAUUAUUGGGCGUAAAGCGCGCGCAGGCGGUCUGUUAAGUCUUGUGUUUAAGCCCGGGGCUCAACCCCGGUUCGCAUGGGAAACUGGCAGUACUUGAGUGCAGGAGAGGAAAGCGGAAUUCCACGUGUAGCGGUGAAAUGCGUAGAGAUGUGGAGGAACACCAGUGGCGAAGGCGGCUUUCUGGACUGUAACUGACGCUGAGGCGCGAAAGCGUGGGGAGCAAACAGGAUUAGAUACCCUGGUAGUCCACGCCGUAAACGAUGAGUGCUAGGUGUCGGGGGUUUCGAUACCCGCGGUGCCGAAGUUAACGCAAUAAGCACUCCGCCUGGGGAGUACGCUCGCAAGAGUGAA
Molecule: ribosomal RNA, 379 nt
Filed under: uncultured bacterium
Lineage: Bacteria
Description: bacterial SSU rRNA
Rfam family: Bacterial small subunit ribosomal RNA
Source: RNAcentral